RNAcentral lists this ribosomal RNA (253 nucleotides) under uncultured bacterium. Its description in RNAcentral is "partial 16S ribosomal RNA". It matches the Rfam family "Bacterial small subunit ribosomal RNA", at positions 524 to 776 of the family's 1533-position model. The record is from RNAcentral.
UACGAAGGGUGCAAGCGUUAUCCGGAUUCAUUGGGUUUAAAGGGCUCGUAGGCGGUUUGUCGCGUCGGGAGUGAAAACACGGGGCUUAACCCCGUGCCUGCUUCCGAUACGGGCAGACUAGAGGUAUGCAGGGGAGAACGGAAUUCCUGGUGUAGCGGUGAAAUGCGCAGAUAUCAGGAGGAACACCGGUGGCGAAGGCGGUUCUCUGGGCAUUACCUGACGCUGAGGAGCGAAAGUGUGGGGAGCGAACAGG